UUUGCCUACGGGGGGCAGCAGUGGGGAAUAUUGCGCAAUGGGGAAACCCUGAUGCAGCGACGCCGCGUGUGGGAAGACGGUCCUCUGGAUUGUAAACCACUGUCCCCAGGGACGAAGAUGACGGUACCUGGGGAGGAAGCUCCGGCUAACUACGUGCCAGCAGCCGCGGUAAUACGUAGGGAGCGAGCGUUGUCCGGAAUUACUGGGUGUAAAGGGAGCGUAGGCGGGGGUGCAAGUUGGGUGUCAAAACUACCGGCUCAACUGGUAGUCGCACUCAAACCU
Molecule: ribosomal RNA, 282 nt
Filed under: uncultured bacterium
Lineage: Bacteria
Description: partial 16S ribosomal RNA
Rfam family: Bacterial small subunit ribosomal RNA
Source: RNAcentral